GACGAACGCUGGCGGCGUGCUUAACACAUGCAAGUCGAACGGAAAGGCCCUGCUUUUGUGGGGUGCUCGAGUGGCGAACGGGUGAGUAACACGUGAGUAACCUGCCCUUGACUUUGGGAUAACUUCAGGAAACUGGGGCUAAUACCGGAUAGGAGCUCCUGCUGCAUGGUGGGGGUUGGAAAGUUUCGGCGGUUGGGGAUGGACUCGCGGCUUAUCAGCUUGUUGGUGGGGUAGUGGCUUACCAAGGCUUUGACGGGUAGCCGGCCUGAGGGGGGGACCGGCCACAUUGGGACUGAGAUACGGCGCAGACUCCUACGGGAGGCAGCAGUGGGGAAUAUUGCACAAUGGGCGGAAGCCUGAUGCAGCAACGCCGCGUGCGGGAUGACGGCCUUCGGGUUGUAAACCGCUUUCGCCUGUGACGAAGCGUGAGUGACGGUAAUGGGUAAAGAAGCACCGGCUAACUACGUG
Molecule: ribosomal RNA, 468 nt
Filed under: uncultured bacterium
Lineage: Bacteria
Description: partial 16S ribosomal RNA
Rfam family: Bacterial small subunit ribosomal RNA
Source: RNAcentral